RNAcentral lists this ribosomal RNA (430 nucleotides) under Actinomycetes bacterium. RNAcentral describes it as "Actinobacteria bacterium partial 16S ribosomal RNA". It matches the Rfam family "Bacterial small subunit ribosomal RNA", at positions 355 to 776 of the family's 1533-position model. The record is from RNAcentral. Lineage: Bacteria; Bacillati; Actinomycetota; Actinomycetes.
UGAGGAAUCUUGCGCAAUGGGGGCAACCCUGACGCAGCAACGCCGCGUGAGUGAUGAAGGCCUUCGGGUCGUAAAGCUCUGUCAGGUGGGAAGAAACUCCCCAUGGUAAAUAAUCAUGGGGAUUGACGGUACCGCCAGAGGAAGCACCGGCUAACUCCGUGCCAGCAGCCGCGGUAAUACGGAGGGUGCUAGCGUUGUUCGGAAUUAUUGGGCGUAAAGAGCGUGUAGGCGGUCGGGUAAGUCAGAUGUGAAAGCCCUUGGCUUAACCAAGGAAGGGCAUUUGAAACUGCUUGGCUUGAGUACGGGAGGGGGAAGCGGAAUUCCCGGUGUAGAGGUGAAAUUCGUAGAUAUCGGGAGGAACACCGGUGGCGAAGGCGGCUUCCUGGACCGAUACUGACGCUGAGACGCGAAAGCGUGGGGAGCAAACAGG